AUCCCUGUAGCGCAGUGGAAGCGCGCCAGGCUCAUAACCUGGAGGCCCCUGGAUCGAGACCAGGCAGAGAUA
RNAcentral lists this transfer RNA (72 nucleotides) under Taphrina deformans PYCC 5710. RNAcentral's name for it is "tRNA-Met (CAT) (tRNA-Met-CAT-1-1)". It matches the Rfam family "tRNA". Rfam says of the family: Transfer RNA (tRNA) molecules are approximately 80 nucleotides in length. Lineage: Eukaryota; Fungi; Ascomycota; Taphrinomycetes; Taphrinales; Taphrinaceae. The record is from Rfam by way of RNAcentral.